RNAcentral lists this ribosomal RNA (330 nucleotides) under uncultured bacterium. Its description in RNAcentral is "bacterial SSU rRNA". It matches the Rfam family "Bacterial small subunit ribosomal RNA", at positions 568 to 898 of the family's 1533-position model. The record is from RNAcentral.
UUCGUAGGCGGUGUGGCAAGUCGGGAGUGAAAUCUCUGGGCUUAACUCAGAGGCUGCUUCCGAAACUGCCGUGCUAGAGUGCGGGAGAGGCGAGUGGAAUUGCAGGUGUAGCGGUGAAAUGCGUAGAUAUCUGCAGGAACACCCGUGGCGAAGGCGGCUCGCUGGACCGCAACUGACGCUGAGGAACGAAAGCUAGGGGAGCAAACAGGAUUAGAUACCCUGGUAGUCCUAGCCCUAAACCAUCAGGACUUGGGGUGCAUCCCGUUCGGGGUGCGUCCCGUAGCUAACGCGUUAAGUCCUGCGCCUGGGGAGUACGGUCGCAAGGCUGAA